Long non-coding RNA from Girardinichthys multiradiatus, 1088 nucleotides. RefSeq lists it as uncharacterized. The transcript has 8 exons. The record is from RefSeq and is a predicted model, not a curated record. Lineage: Eukaryota; Metazoa; Chordata; Actinopteri; Cyprinodontiformes; Goodeidae.
UUUUUGGGCUAGUUUUGAAAAUGUAGCUGCUUAUUUAGACUUCUUCUGUUUUAUUACACGAACACUUGCAGCAUCCGUCAAGCCGGACUAGGGCUCAACAUGCCUCUGACUGAGGGGUGGAAAGUAGAGCGCCCCCUCUUUGUCAGGAACGGGAAUACACCGUCUGCGAGAACCGUAAUGCCGUCUGAAUCAGCAGUCCAGAUUUCUGAUGUUCAUGGUUCCAUUUGAUAGCAGCUCGAACAGAAAAAGCAGUUUGGCCAAAUGCACAUAAGGAAAUGAUACAAUCUAUGAGCUCAUACAGGUGAUAGCAGGCUACUUGAAGUACAUCAACCCUGUCUUCGUGUCCAUAUAACUGGAUGUGCGGACGUGUUCUGCCGGGUGAGAACGAGUCGUGGAUCAAUUUUCUCAGCUACACUGGAGGACCCGCAAAAACAAGUAUGCAUCAUCAGAAAUUACCUGGGCACAGCAGAUGAAGACCACUGACAGAGUGAGGAGGAAGGCAGACGACACAAUUACAUCCACUGAACGCUGAGGACCUCGUCUCUGCAGAUUCAAACAGAUUUUUACCCAGUUCUACCAGUUUCCAAAGAGACUGGUAACCAUAAAGACCUAUCGUUAGACUUGUACCUUAAGGUCCUCUCUGCUACACUGAGCAGGAAGAAGAAGAGCCAUAUAAGGCAAACGCGCACCAGGAAGCUGAGUGUUACCAUGGUGAUUAUCACGGCAUCAUAUUCAGAUCCUCCUCCCAAAGCAACAGAGAGCAUCUCAUUGGCUGAAAGCGUGGUGAGCUGAUCCAGGUCACAGUAUUGAACCAGCCUGCGGAGAAUGACGCUCCCCUGCGGAGGGCGCCGUAGGAUGCUUCAGGAUCCUCCUCACUAGAAGCUUCAUCAGAGGCAGGCUCCUUAAGAAGGAGACACAACCCAAUCCAGAAGCAGUCCUGUGCUGUGGGCUGUGUGAGAAUGUGAGGGUUGGAUGUGAGGGUUCCAGCACACCUCGUCUGGCCGGGUCAACGCGUCACAUCUCUGCUCGUGCAGCUGAAGUCCCUCCUCACUGCUGCGGUUGGUCACCCGACCAUCCAGUGACACGUA